UAUGCGGGGAUGUGUAGUGCAUGUAGAUUUUUGAUAUCUGAAGAUAUGGUGGAAGUCCAUACCGUAUAG
RNAcentral lists this transfer RNA (69 nucleotides) under Diaphanosoma excisum. RNAcentral's name for it is "tRNA-Gln". The record is from RNAcentral. Lineage: Eukaryota; Metazoa; Arthropoda; Branchiopoda; Diplostraca; Sididae.